This 115-nucleotide ribosomal RNA is filed under the name Prolemur simus (greater bamboo lemur). Lineage: Eukaryota; Metazoa; Chordata; Mammalia; Primates; Lemuridae. The record is from RNAcentral.
GCCUACGGACAUACCACCCUGAACACGCCCGGUCUCAUCUGAUCUCGGAAGCCAAGCAGGGUCGGGCCUGGUUAGUACUUGGAUGGGAGAAUUGGAACACAGGGAUCUUUAGUGC